RNAcentral lists this ribosomal RNA (490 nucleotides) under uncultured bacterium. RNAcentral describes it as "partial 16S ribosomal RNA". It matches the Rfam family "Bacterial small subunit ribosomal RNA", at positions 30 to 507 of the family's 1533-position model. The record is from RNAcentral.
AUUGAACGCUGGCGGCAGGCCUAACACAUGCAAGUCGAACGGUAACAGGAAGCAGCUUGCUGCUUUGCUGACGAGCGGCGGACGGGUGAGUAAUGUCUGGGAAACUGCCUGAUGGAGGGGGAUAACUACUGGAAACGGUAGCUAAUACCGCAUAACGUCGCAAGACCAAAGAGGGGGACCUUCGGGCCUCUUGCCAUCGGAUGUGCCCAGAUGGGAUUAGCUAGUAGGUGGGGUAACGGCUCACCUAGGCGACGAUCCCUAGCUGGUCUGAGAGGAUGACCAGCCACACUGGAACUGAGACACGGUCCAGACUCCUACGGGAGGCAGCAGUGGGGAAUAUUGGACAAUGGGCGCAAGCCUGAUGCAGCCAUGCCGCGUGGAUGAAGAAGGCCUUCGGGUUGUAAAGUACUUUCAGCGGGGAGGAAGGGAGUAAAGUUAAUACCUUUGCUCAUUGACGUUACCCGCAGAAGAAGCACCGGCUAACUCCGUG